AUAUGAGGGCAAUCCGGAUGCCGCAUUUCUCUCCCCAUGGACUGGUUGAUUCUGCUGAUCUGGCUGGCUCAGAGAGUGUCCCUCCCCUGUCCCCUACAUGUGUACCUCUCUAGAACUUGCUUACCUUGUUAGAGAGGACAAUCUUCCCCAAUAAGAGAGGACUGUUCUUCCAUCAAAGAUACCUGAAUACCUGCAACCCUGCUAGAACCUCCAUACUGCAGGAAUUACAUCCUCCGAUGCCAGUGGCUAGUGUAUGGUUACCUUCAGGCACACAGGGGCAGCUGGUGAGGAUGGUUCUCCU
This 301-nucleotide small nuclear RNA is filed under the name Microtus ochrogaster (prairie vole). Its description in RNAcentral is "7SK RNA (ENSMOCG00000005799.1)". It matches the Rfam family "7SK RNA". From Rfam's summary of the family: 7SK was discovered as an abundant small nuclear RNA in the mid-70s but a possible function has only recently been suggested. The record is from RNAcentral. Lineage: Eukaryota; Metazoa; Chordata; Mammalia; Rodentia; Cricetidae.